RNAcentral lists this ribosomal RNA (156 nucleotides) under uncultured Azotobacter sp. Its description in RNAcentral is "partial 16S ribosomal DNA". It matches the Rfam family "Bacterial small subunit ribosomal RNA", at positions 379 to 528 of the family's 1533-position model. The record is from RNAcentral. Lineage: Bacteria; Pseudomonadati; Pseudomonadota; Gammaproteobacteria; Pseudomonadales; Pseudomonadaceae.
CCAGCUGAUCAGCCAUGCCGCGUGUGUGAAGAAGGUCUUCGGAUUGUAAAGCACUUUAAGUCGGGAGGAAGGGCUGUAGGUUAAUACCUUGCAGCCUUGACGUUACCGACAGAAUAAGCACCGGCUAACUUCGUGCCAGCAGCCGCGGUAAUACAC